AUGUGUUUUGCCACUAGAGAGCCCACGAAAUGGGCACAGGAUCCUGGGGCUGCGGGGAUGGAAAUUGGAAAGUCAUACAAUCAUAGAUCCAUAGAAUGGCAUAGGUUGGAGGAGACCCAAAGGCCCCCCCCCAGCCCUCCCCCCUCCGUGGACUGGCUGCCCUCCAGUUCAGGCUGCCCAGGGCCCAUCUCCAUAGGAGAGGUCCCCAUGGAGACCUGCAACAAUGGCAGAGGCUCAGGCACGCACCGUGCAUCCCCAGCACCUCGUGCAGCAGCCGCCGGUUCCUCUCCACCCUCUCAGCCAAGGACAGCGGCUCCGGGCCCGCCGUCACCUCCUUGCCAGCAGAAACCAGAGGGGGAGAGCCCCCCAGGCCCCCCCGCUCCCCCCAUGGCGCAGUGCCAUCCAGCAGCCCGUCGGUCAGAAAUGAUAUCCACUCGGGAAGGAAAGAGGAGACAGCUAACAGCGCAGUCACAGUACACCAUGAGUCCAAGCAAGCGGCAAGUCUUUGUCCUCACCUUUUCCACUUAGCCAAAGAGAAGAGUGGAGAAGGGGAUAGCAAAAGAGAAAGGAAGAAAGCAAGCACCCACAGAGGACUAAUCACACUCCAUAAUUACUUUGGACAUCUACAGGUCGGGGCGGCAGAACCAUGAGACCAACGUGGCAGGGAUGGGGAGGGGCCGGGGCGUUCUGCAGCCCCAGUGCCAGGAGGAUGAGGCCGCGGUUGGGCACCAAGCGGUGCCAGCAGCCCUCUCCUCUCCUCCUCCCA
Molecule: long non-coding RNA, 766 nt
Filed under: Meleagris gallopavo (turkey)
Lineage: Eukaryota; Metazoa; Chordata; Aves; Galliformes; Phasianidae
Description: lncRNA (ENSMGAG00000019741.1)
Source: RNAcentral